GGGGAAUCUUGCGCAAUGGGAGCAAUCCUGACGCAGCAACGCCGCGUGGGUGAUGAAGGUCUUCGGAUCGUAAAGCCCUGUCGGAGGGGAAGAUGCUUGUAACGUCUAAUAGAUGAGACAGGUGACGGUACCCUCAAAGGAAGCACCGGCUAACUCUGUGCCAGCAGCCGCGGUAAUACAGAGGGUGCAAGCGUUGUUCGGAAUUAUUGGGCGUAAAGGGAGUGUAGGCGGUUUGAAAAGUCUUCUGUGAAAUCUACGAGCUUAGCUUGUAAAGUGCAGAGGAUACUAUCAGGCUUGAGUAUCGGAGAGGAUAGGGGAAUACCCAGUGUAGAGGUGAAAUUCGUAGAGAUUGGGUGGAACACCAGUGGCGAAGGCGCCUAUCUGGCCGAUAACUGACGCUGAGACUCGAAAGCAUGGGGAGCAAAC
RNAcentral lists this ribosomal RNA (426 nucleotides) under uncultured bacterium. RNAcentral's name for it is "bacterial SSU rRNA". It matches the Rfam family "Bacterial small subunit ribosomal RNA", at positions 356 to 773 of the family's 1533-position model. The record is from RNAcentral.